UAUUUCAAUAUACAUUCAAGUUAAUUUAUGUUCAUCUAUGUUCAAAAAAAUAAAAUAAAAUUUGUGUUCAUCUUACAAAAUGGCUUCAAUAGCAAAUAAUAUUAGAUUCGUCGCUCUACUUUGUUGCAUCAUGCUGGUUUCAAGCCACACAUGGAUAAGGUUUCUUGGUGCCGGAAGAUUUUGAGUGAUCCAAGGUGUCCAGGUGGACACGGCGAGGGGAUUGGAAAGGGACAGGGCAAGGGGAUUGAAGGUGGAGCACAAGAUCAUGGUUUUUAAUAUGUAAAUGAUGUAAUUGACAAUCACCUAGUUAUACAUGGAUAGAAAUAUGGAAUUAUUAGCUAAUCAGUCCGGGUGACUACCUAGACAUGAUCAAUAAAGUUUAAAUAAAUUUUUUUAUGUUUGAUUAUACUUAAACCAAUUAUAACAUUUAUGUCUGGCGUCUUUA
This is a long non-coding RNA of Erigeron canadensis, 445 nucleotides long. RefSeq lists it as uncharacterized. NCBI's taxonomy places the organism in Eukaryota, Viridiplantae, Streptophyta, Magnoliopsida, Asterales, Asteraceae. The transcript is spliced from 2 exons. The record is from RefSeq and is a predicted model, not a curated record.